RNAcentral lists this long non-coding RNA (1026 nucleotides) under Lactuca sativa (garden lettuce). RNAcentral's name for it is "long non-coding RNA (LSAT_LNC000659)". Lineage: Eukaryota; Viridiplantae; Streptophyta; Magnoliopsida; Asterales; Asteraceae. The record is from RNAcentral.
UUAAACUUCCCAUCCUCCUUGCCUAGCGCCAUAUUCUUCUUCAAGUCGAAUAUAAAUGGCAUGUAAUUGUAAUUUCGUUGUUCUCUUUCUUGCCCUUUCUCAAUCUUAAAUUUUGCCCUAAUGUUGUUAUCAGAUGAAGAUUAUACAACGAGUAGCAGAAGACCACACAAACAAUUCAUCCUCCUUUUUUCCCUUUCUCAAUCUUCGAGUUUCCCCUAAUAUUGUUAUCAGGUGAAGAUUAUACAACGACUCAACCAAUAGCAGAAGAGAACACAAACAGUGAUUUGUAAAUCAUUUCAUGUAACUAAAUUAUCUUAUUUUAAGCUUCAGAAUUCUCUUUUUAUGGGCAUUGAUAGUCUUGCUCGUGUUUGUUUCGACAUUCAGAUGAAAUUAGAGUUGUGCAAAGGUUUCCGUUUGGUUGCUGUGUGAAGACCUAAGAAUUCAGAGCUAUUGUUGAUGUCCAUUUCUGGUUUAAUUGCUUCUGGUUAUAUUUUCUCCUUCUAAUCUUGAUUGCUUCUUUAGUGAAUCAAUUUUACUUAGCUGCUAUUAUAGAUUUUGUUGUUCUUCUUCUAUCCCCCUUCUUUUUUCAAACAUAAUCAACACAUAUGCAACAAGAAUCUCGAAUCGAUGAAAUCCCUAUAUUCAUUUUAGACUAAUGCAUUUGUUAUGAAUGUUGCAGGAAUCCGGAUAUGUUACAAAAAGAAAGCUAUUACAAUUUUAUCAUCAGGUGUUCCAGUUUCAAUUUGUGUUUUCAUGGUGGAUGUGUAAAGAACUGUGUUAUAGUUACUUAGCCAUCUUAUGUACAUGUCAAAAACUUUAUCAAUGAGAAGGUUUUUUUUAUCUAAACUUAACAUUAGUCUAAUCACACAUUCUCAUAUCAAAUAAUGUUCAAUUCUCAAAGAAAGCCAUUAAAAUAAUUUGCUGAUUGUCGAUUGCAAAUACUAUCUGAUCACGAGCUUGAUCAUGUAAUUGAAGCUAUCUAUUCCCUAGUUUUAAUUAUGAAUUGAAUAAUCAAUUAACAAAUAC